GACGAACGCCGGCGGCGUGCUUAACACCGCAAGUCGAACGUGAUUUUUGUGGAAAUUCUUUCGGGAAUGGAAGUAAAAUGAAAGUGGCGAACGGGUGAGUAACACGUGAGCAACCUACCUUACACAGGGGCAUAGCCGUUGGAAACGACGAUUAAUACCGCAUGAGACCACAGUACCGCAUGGUAUAGGGGUCAAAGAUUUAUCGGUGUAAGAUGGGCUCGCGUCUGAUCAGCUAGUGGAAGGGUAAAGGCCUACCAAGGCGACGAUCAGUAGCCGGUCUGAGAGGAUGAACGGCCACAUAGGAACUGAGACACGGUCCAAACUCCUACGGGAGGCGGCAGUGGGGAAUAUUGCACAAUGGGGGGAACCCUGAUGCAGCGACGCCGCGUGAGCGAAGAAGGUUUUCGAAUCGUAAAGCUCUGUCCUAUGAGAAGAUAAUGACGGUAUCAUAGGAGGAAGCCCCGGCUAAAUACGUGCCAGCAGCCGCGGUAAUACGUAUGGGGCGAGCGUUGUCCGGAUUUAUUGGGCGUAAAGCGCGUCUAGGCGGCAAGGAAAGUCUGAUGUGAAAAUGCGGAGCUCAACUCCGUAUGGCGUUGGAAACUGCCUUACUAGAGUACUGGAGAGGUAGGCGGAACUACAAGUGUAGAGGUGAAAUUCGUAGAUAUUUGUAGGAAUGCCGAUGGGGAAGCCAGCCUACUGGACAGAUACUGACGCUAAAGCGCGAAAGCGUGGGUAGCAAACAGG
RNAcentral lists this ribosomal RNA (744 nucleotides) under uncultured Parvimonas sp. Its description in RNAcentral is "bacterial SSU rRNA". It matches the Rfam family "Bacterial small subunit ribosomal RNA", at positions 28 to 776 of the family's 1533-position model. The record is from RNAcentral. Lineage: Bacteria; Bacillati; Bacillota; Tissierellia; Tissierellales; Peptoniphilaceae.